CUUACAAAGCUCGACUGGGUCUAACUCUUGAAUCUGCACAAUUAAAUGCCGAGUAUAGUGUGAGUACAACCAACGCCAUGUACUCUGUAAGUAUCAUGACUAACCUCGGCGAGAUAGUAGUGGCAAGAAUAACCAAUGAUACCUAUUUAACAACCUGCUUAGUUCAUAAUAUCUAAGUACACAACAAUGGUACCGACUAAACAUGAAACACAUGUAUAUCCAAAUAAGUGCACAUCGAGAAGAUGUGUCAAGUAUUAUAAUAGUUUAACGGCUCAACAUAUAGAGAAGCUAUGCAUUCAACAUCAAAGGAUCAUCAACAUUAGCAUAUAAAGAAGAUAUGCAUUAAGAACUAGGUCAAUGUACAUCGGUUAACAUAUAGACAAGAUAUGUAUCGUAUUUCCACCUUCUAGUCAAAACAACAUAUAGAGAAGAUAUACAUAAAGAUGCAUGUAUACAUUUCAAAGCUAGCAUAUAGAGAAGAUAUGCUAUAAAAACAUGUAUACACCCAAGGCAUUUGCAAAUAGAGAAGAUAUGCAAAAACCAAACACUAAUAAGUUUUUCUCAUACCGCGUGUAUGUAAUCAAGAGAGAAACAAGAGAGAAAGACCCUAGGGGGAUGGAUCCUUAUUCACACGUUGCACGGACAACUCACGCGCCAUAAUAUAACAACCGCAUAGACAUCUCACGUGUUAUCAUAACUCAAACCGCACGCACCACUCACGUGCUACCAAUCCAGUCCAUAUCACACAGAAAGCGUAUAUAAGAAUACAUGUAUACGAAAAAUGAAUAUCAAAUCAUAUACUCAUGGACUGAUAAAGUGACAUGCUAAGGUGUAUGCAUGUGCAAAGUGUGCUACCAAAGCUCCAAUUAGGCGAAUACACCACAACAUAAAAAUUAUCAUGUUUGAACAUGAGAUUAACCUACACAUGAUCUCUAACAUUAUUCAAAUAGCUCACAAAGGGGUAUAAAAAUAUGAAGCAUGAUAACAUGAAACUUAGUAUUCAAUUCAAGGCAUAACAUAGCCUAAGCACUACCCCGACCAUGGAUAAAACCCGGUGCAUGCACACAUGCUCAUCCCUUGCAUGUGUGUCACCCUUGGCACAUAGCCAUCAUCAACAAUUAAAGCAACUAGUGCCUCAAACCAAGGCUAGACAAGAUACUUACUUCAAACAAGCCAAAUCAAUACUCUAAAAAUGCCUUCCCAAGCGAAUCGACCUUCGAACAACUCGAACCUAGUAAAAAAUAACUCAAUAACAUCAAUAAAUCCAUAAGAAACAACCCUAAAUAAUAAAUCAUCAAUCUUUAUAAAAUACACAAAGUCAACUAAAAAGUGAACCUAAGCCCAUAUCCUAGAACCAGACCAAACUCAUAAAUCCCGGUUAUCCAUUCCAAUACGAGUCCAAAUAUACAAGUUUAAUCUAAAUCCGACUUCAAAUCAGCUCCCAAAUCCCCAAUUUUUGCUCUCCAAAAUCAUAGCCUAAACCCCUAAAUUUCUCUUUCAAAUCACAUAAUCUAUGUGUAAUAAUACAUGGAAAAACAAGAUAUAAUAUCAAAAUCAAAUAGAAGUCAUUAUCGCUCUUGCCUUGUGUGAAAAUCCUCUUCAACAAUCGCCCCUCUCCAAGUCUAAGGUUCAAAAUAUGAAAUAGUGGGUCUAAAUCCCAAAAUUAUAACACUAAUAAGUUUGUCCAGUGAUACCCUUCGUGAAUAGUGGCCACUACCUCACGUUCACGAAGCACAAAAAUUCAAUGUCUCAAAAUAACCCUUCGUGAAUGCGGCCUCCAGCCUGCGAACACGAUGCACAAACUCCACAGGCCUACGCGAAUGCGGUCCUAGUCCUGGGAACAUGAAGGCCAAGCACCUGGCCAUCCCCAGCUUGCCUCAUUGCUACGUGAACGAGACGCCAUGGCCGCGAGCGUGAAGGCCAAUCUGCCGCAUUCAUUUCGACUACGGCCUUACUAUCAUGAAUGCAAAGAAAAAAAAUCUGCCCAGCUCAAGUUCACUCUACGAUCGCGAUCUAACUUGCUCUAUCGCAAAGAAGGGUCUGACACCAGCAAAAAUCUGCAACUUUCAAAAUGCUCCAGGUGGUCUGAAACUCACCCGAGCCACCCGGGACCUCGUCCAAUCACACCAACAAGUAUAUAAACCAUAUACAACCUUGUUCGAAAGCUCAAAACAUCAAAAUACACCCGUAACCAAGAAUCGAACACCAAAACACAUAAUGCAUCAUUCAAGUUAAAGAACUUCAAACACUAAAAACCAAGCGUCUGAUUCAAGCCUAACCAAUCCAGAAUGAACCCAAACUUUGUACACAAGUUCCAAAGAAUUAAACGGACCUAUUCCAAGUCCCAAAAAAAUAACCCAAACUCGAUAGCCUCAAGUUCAACUCACGAUCAAACUUAUGAACUUUCCAAACCUUAAAAUUGCCAACUCUCGGCAAUUUGAGCCAAAUCAACCUAGGAACCUCCAAAUCCAAAUCCGAAUAUACGCCUAAGUCGAAAACCACCAUACAAACCUUUUGGAACCAUAAAAAUAUGAAUCUGAGGUCGUUUACACAAAAGUCAAACUUUGGUCAAGUCUUACAACUUAAGCUACCAAAAUAAGACUAAGUGUCUCAAUUCACUCCAAAACAUUCCCGAAAAGAAUCCCAACCAUCCUUGUAAAUCACCAAACAUCAAAUACACAUAUGCGGGACAUCAAAUAGGUGAAUGAGGCUAAUAUUCACAAGACGGCCGGCGGGGUCAUUACAUUCUUCCCCUCUUUAACAAACAUUCAUCCUUGACCGAGUUUAGAGUCAUACCUGAAAUGCCAGAAAAGUGAGGAUAUAUCCUUCGCAUAUCAUACUUGAUUUCUCAAGUCAUAUCCUCGACCGGUUGACUUCUUUGUUGAACCUUCAUCGAUGCUAUAUACUUCGACCUCAGCUUCCGAACAUCCCUAUCCAAAAUAGCCACCAGCCCCUCAUCAUAGGUUAAAUCCUUGUCCAACUGCACCGAUUGAAAUCCAACACAUAUGACGGAUCCUCAUAGUACUUCCGAAUCAUGGAAAUAUGAAACACCGGAUGAAAUCCCAAGAAGCUGGGUGGCAAAGCAAGCCUGUAAGCCACCUCACCAACUCUCUUCAAAACCUCGAAUGGAACAAUAAACCUCAAGCUCAACUUUUCCUUCUUCCCAAACCUCAUUACGCCCUUUAUUGGCGAAACUCUAAGUAGAACCUUCUCACCCACCAUGAAUUCCACAUCACGAACCUUCCUAUUAGUAUAACUCUUACGCUUGGACUGUGCGGUACGAAGCCUCUUCUGAAUCAACUUCACUUCCUCCAGAGCAUUACGAAUCAAAUCUGUGCCCAAUAAUCUAGUCUCACCGGGCUCAAACCAACCAACCGAAGAACGAUACCGUCUCCCAUAUAAUGCCUUAUACGGAGCCAUCUGGAUGCUAGACUAGUAGCUGUUGCUUUAGGCAAACUCUGCUAGAGUACAAACUAAUCCCACUCGCCUCCAAAAUCUAUAACAUAGGCUCUGAACUUAUCCUUCAAGAUCUGAAUGGUCCGCUCGGGCUGCCUGUCCAUCUGAGAAUAAAAUGUAGUAUUCAACUCAACCUACAUGCCUAACUCACACUAAACAGCCCUCCAGAAAUGCGAAGUAAACUGAGUACCAUGAUUCGAUAUGAUAAAAAUAGGUACACCAUACAGGAAAACAAUCUCUCUGAUGAAGAUAUGAUCUAAUCUCUCUAAAGUGUAGGAAGUCAUAACUGGAAUGAAAUGCGCCAAUUUGGUCAAUUGAUCCACAAUAACCCAAAUACCAUCAAACUUCCUCAAAAUCCGUGGCAAAUCCACCACGAAGUCUAUAGUAUUAUGCUCCCACUUUUACUCUGUUAUAUCAAUCUUCUGAAGCAAAUCUCCCAAUCUCUGAUGCUCAUAUUUAACCUGCUGACAAUUCAAAUACCGUAAAACAUGAUCAAAAUUGUCCUUCAUCCUUCUCCACCAAUUAUGCUGAUUCAAAUCAUGAUACAUCUUUGUAGCACCUGGAUGGAAAGAAUACAAUAAACUGUGAGCCUCCUCAAGAAUUAACUCUCUUAAUUCGUCCACAUUAGGUAUACAGAUCCGACACUAAAGCCUCAAUACCCCAUCAUCACCAAUAGUCACAUCUUUAGCAUCACCGUGAUGCACUGUGUCCCUAAGUACAAGUAAGGUGGGGAUCAUCAUACUGACGAUCCUUAACAUUCUCAAACAAGGACGACCGAGAUACAACAUACAUAAAGACUCUGCUCGGCUCGGCCAUAUCCAAUAUUACCACCUUAUUGGCCAAUGCCUGAACAUCCAUAGCUAAAGGCCUCUCCCCAACUCGAAUGAAUGCUAAAUUUCCCAUACUCUCUGCCUUUCUACUCAAGGCUUCUGCUAUCAUAAUAGCCUUGACCGGGUGAUAGAGAAUAGUGAUAUCAUAAUCCUUCAAUAGUUCUAACCAUCUCCUCCGUGUCAAAUUCAAAUCUUUCUGUUUUAAUAGAUAAUGAAAACUUUGAUGAUCCAUAUAAACCUCAUAAGACAUACCAUAUAGAUAAUGCCUCCAAAUCGUGAGCGCGUGCCCAAUAGCUGCCAACUCAAAAUCAUGGACUAGAUAGUUCCUCUCAUGGGGGUUCAACUCGCACGAUGCAUAAGAAAUCACCCUACUCUGUUAUAUCAACACACACCCCAAGUACAUCACGCGAAGGCAAAAUCAAAACUGGGGCCAUAGUCAAAGCAGUCUUGAGCUUUUGAAAGCUCUCCUCCCACUCGUCCGACUAUCUGAAUAAGGUGCCUUUCUAAGUCAAUCUAGUCAAUGCAGCUACUGUAGAUGAAACCCCUUCCACAAACUGACGGUAGUAUCCAGCCAAACAUAAGAAAUAGGGCUGUUCAAAACCGAACCGAAACCAUUAACCGAACCAAACGGAUGGCUUAUUGGCUUAUUGGUAUCGGAUUAUCGGGGCAAUGGAUGGUGAACGGAUUGAGAUUUUAUGAUUAACGGCUUAACGGUUUGGGGGCGUAUUACUCAAUUUUUUUAUCGGGUAAACCGUUAACCCGUUAAGAAUUUUUAUAUUUAUACUUUUACCCCUAUAUAUAUAAAAUACUAUUAAAACCUAAAUGGCUAAAUCCCUUCUAAUUCUCAAUAGAAUUGUCGUAUGUCCGUAGCUAUUAUAGACAUGAGGAGAUUUUUUAACCCAGAUUUGGUAAGGUUCGCUUUGCUGUCGUAUAUGGCUUAUGGUGAAUGGUAAGUUGAAUACUCUUUACGGGAAAAUUGUUACUUUUUAUAUAUAAUAUAUUAAAUCUUAAACAUUCUCAGUAAAAUUAUUUUCUAGUUAUGUCACAUCACUUAAGUUUGUCUCGAUCUAAUAUUGUAUAAAAAUAACAAGUAAAACAUAGUUUCCUUAACAUUAGAAGUACUUUACAUUAUACAAUAUAUAAAUUUGUCACAAACUGAAAGAUUUUUCGUAAAUUUUGGACAUACUAUUUCAGUACGUAGAGAAUUUUAUAAUAUUACAAUUGUCCAAUUAUGAAUAUAUCCCUAUUACAGUACGUACUGAAGUUAUGUUGUCCUCUUUCCAUCUUGUUUCUCUAUGUCUUCUGGGAUAGGACUAUUCUGACUUUGUUGAGUUAUUCUUCAUUAAAAUUAUUCAACAUUGCUUGGCUAGCUAUACAACUAACAGAUAUAGUUUGAACUAUGCAUUUAGCCAUUUGGCCCUGACCGAACCGUUAAUCAUAAUUAUCCGCCCGAUAAGCACCCCUAAUAAAAAACUCCUAACCUCUGUAGCGGUAGAAGGUCUGGGCUAACACUGAAUUGCCUCAAUCUUCUUCAGGUCCACCUUGAUCCCAUCACUAGAUACCACGUGGCUCAGGAAUUCCACAUAAUCCAACCAAAAUGCGCACUUGGAGAACUUAGCAUACAACUUCUUCUCCCUCAAAAUCUAAAGCACAAUCCUCAAAUACUGCUCGUGCUCCUCCCUACUACAGAAAUACACCAAUAUAUCAUCAACUAAUACAAUAACGAAGGAAUCCAAAUAAGGCUGAAAUGCAUUGUUCAUCAAAUGCAUGUAAGUUGAUGGGUCAUUAGUCAAACCAAAAGACAUCACCAAAAGCUCAUAGAGGCCAUAAUGGGUCCUUAAAGUCUUAUUAGGAAUGUCCGAAGACCUAAUCUUUAGCUGAUGAUAAACCGAUCUCAAGUUAAUCUUUGAGAACACCCCGACACCUUGAAACUGAUGAAAUAAAUCAUCAAUAAGUGGAGGUGGAUAUUUGUACUUGAUGGUAACUAUGUUCAAUUGCUUGUAGUUAAUGCACAUCCUCAUCAAACCAUCCUUCUUCUUCAAAAAUAAUACCGGCACACCCUAAGGUGAAACACUCACCCUGAUGAAACCCUUAUCAAGCAAUUCCUGUAAUAGUAGGAUAGAUAUGGGUCGAGUUCCCGACAAAAGAUCAAUACCAAAGUCCUUAUCCCUAUCAAGUGGCAUGGUCGGUAGGUCUGCAAAAAACAUAUCUGGGAACUCCCUUACUAUUGGAACUGACUCAACAGUUGGAUUAUAAGCACUAACAUCUCCACAAAGUCCAAAUACACCAAACAUUCAUUCUCAACCAUCUGCCGAGCCUUCAAAAAUGAAAUAACUCUAUUAAGAGCGUGACCAAGUAAACCCCUCCAUUCCAACCAUGGCAACCCCAGCAUCGCCAAUAUCAUAGUCUUAGCGUGAUAGUCAAGGAUAGCAUGGUAUGAAGAUAACCAAUCCAUACCCAAAAUCACCUCAAAAUCAACCAUGUUGAGCAAUAGAAGAUCAACAUUCGUCUCAUCACCUCAACGGUAACCAUACAAGAUCGAAAUGCAUGAUCUACCACAAUAGAAUCCCUAACAGUUGUAGAUACAUAAAUAAGAAUAUCAAGAGAAUUACGAGGCAUAUCCAAAUAAUGAGCAAAAUAUGAUGAAAUAUAAGAAUAUGUGGAACCAGGGUCAAAUAAUACUGAAGCAUCCAUGUGGUAUACUAAAUUAAUACCUGUGAUUGCGGCAUCUAAAGCAACUACCUCCAGUUUGGCCAGGAAUGCAUAACAAUAGGAAUGUCCUCUACCUGACUGACCUCCCCCUCUAGGAUGGCCCCAAAUAGAUUGAGCUCCACCCCUAACUGGUUGUGUGGUUGGUGUAGCUGUUGGCGCUAGAACCAUGGACUGCGUGCCCUGAUGUGGUAUACUACUCAGAAGCAUGGUACAAUCCCUAUUGAGAUGACUCAAGUCCCCCUACACUCAAAACAACCCCUCCUCUAACGAGGCUGUUAACUCUGCGACUAACCCUGAGGACCCAAACAUCCGCAUGUCGGACCCUAAGAAGAUGGAAAACAAUAUGAACUCUAUGUUGGCAAUGCACUGAAUGAUGACUGGCUUAGGAGAGAACUAUAUGAGUCGUGGCUGACUAAAGAAGCACAAGAAAUUUGAUGAGUUGCCAAAGCGAUCCCGAAAUAACGGCCUCUACUAUAAUUUGACUGUCCUCCAGACGAGGCUCCUCUAAAACCACCCAAACCACGGGUCCUCUUGUCCUCCCGCUCCUGCCUACGAACAUGCUCUAAGCGCCUGCAAUUUAAAUUACUUGGUAGAAGCUAGUAUCAGUCUUGGACUCCCAGGACAUACCAUAUCGGAUACCAUAGAUGAGGCCCUCAAUGAACCUCUUGAUUCUCUCUCUCUCUNNNNNNNNNNNNNNNNNNNNNNNNNNNNNNNNNNNNNNNNNNNNNNNNNNNNNNNNNNNNNNNNNNNNNNNNNNNNNNNNNNNNNNNNNNNNNNNNNNNNNNNNNNNNNNNNNNNNNNNNNNNNNNNNNNNNNNNNNNNNNNNNNNNNNNNNNNNNNNNNNNNNNNNNNNNNNNNNNNNNNNNNNNNNNNNNNNNNNNNNNNNNNNNNNNNNNNNNNNNNNNNNNNNNNNNNNNNNNNNNNNNNNNNNNNNNNNNNNNNNNNNNNNNNNNNNNNNNNNNNNNNNNNNNNNNNNNNNNNNNNNNNNNNNNNNNNNNNNNNNNNNNNNNNNNNNNNNNNNNNNNNNNNNNNNNNNNNNNNNNNNNNNNNNNNNNNNNNNNNNNNNNNNNNNNNNNNNNNNNNNNNNNNNNNNNNNNNNNNNNNNNNNNNNNNNNNNNNNNNNNNNNNNNNNNNNNNNNNNNNNNNNNNNNNNNNNNNNNNNNNNNNNNNNNNNNNNNNNNNNNNNNNNNNNNNNNNNNNNNNNNNNNNNNNNNNNNNNNNNNNNNNNNNNNNNNNNNNNNNNNNNNNNNNNNNNNNNNNNNNNNNNNNNNNNNNNNNNNNNNNNNNNNNNNNNNNNNNNNNNNNNNNNNNNNNNNNNNNNNNNNNNNNNNNNNNNNNNNNNNNNNNNNNNNNNNNNNNNNNNNNNNNNNNNNNNNNNNNNNNNNNNNNNNNNNNNNNNNNNNNNNNNNNNNNNNNNNNNNNNNNNNNNNNNNNNNNNUCUCUCUCUCUCUCUCUCUUUCUCUCUCUCUUAUACGGACCAAAAUAUGGCAUGACGAGCUAACUCCGUAAACCUUAUCUCGUACAGAGUCAAAGUCAAUCCCUCCUGGCAUAGGUACUUAAACUCAAUAUGCAACUUAUCCCCGGGAGUCUGGGGUAUUAACUUCUCCAAGAAGAGAAGUGAGAACUGAGACCAAGUAAGUAGUGCUGCGCUAGUUGCACUACCCAACUCAUAGGUUUGCCAUCACUUGUAGGCUUGUCCUAUUAGCUGGAAAGUAGUAAAGUCAAUCUCAUUAGAAUCCAUUAGACCCAAUAUGCAAAGAAUCCGAUGACACUGAUCAAGAAAAUCUUGUGCAUCCUCUAUAGGCUCUCCACUGAAAUGAGAAGGAUGAAGUCUCUGAAAUCUUUCUAGUCUCUUCUGCUCCCCAGCAGUCAAAGAUGGUCUAAUCUCGAGCUGAACCACAGUAACUAGCCGCACAAGCAGAACCCCGAUGUUUGAUAAUCACGAGCCAUUUGCUCUGGUGUAUGUGCGGUGGGAGUCUGGGCUCCUCCCUCAGCCUGUGCGGUAGCUGGUGCAACAGGGAUCAUGCCAGCCUGAGCCAAACUUGUAUACACACUCAAAAUCUCAGCCAAAAGCUCCUGAAGACCAGGUGUAGUAAUAGGUACCUCUGACGCCUAAGCUGGUCCUACCGGGUCAACAUAAUCCAGAACCUGCUCCUCAACUGGAGAAAUAGGUGGAUCUACAAUUGCUUCUCUAGCAGGGGCUCUAGCUGUGGCGUGUGCCCCACCUCAGCCUCUACCUCGGCCCAGCCUCUUGUAGCCUUAACCUGGGGUAUUGAUUCUUCCCACCCGUAUCGGAAGAUGGUGUCUUCACUAAAUGUGAGAGAAUAGAAGAGCAAAAAUUAAAACUUCAGGAUAAACAAAUUCGUACGAUAGAGAAUGAAAGAAAUAGAAGUUUUCCUAAUUGCCCUCUAGCAUCUUGAAGAUAAGUACAAAUAUCUUUGUACCGAUCCGCAAGACUCUACUAGACUUGCACAUAACUCGUGAGCCCUAUGCAACCCAGGGCUAUGAUACCAACGUGUCAUGAUCCAAAACCACCAUCGGUUGUGAUGGCGCCUAACCCAUUUUCUAGGAGAGCCAGUCAUAAAGUAAAAAUGAAAAUAUGAUAAUGAAUUAUAUAAUAGAUAAGUCUAAAAGACCAAUAACCAUAAAUAAUAUCAAAUCAUAAUGUAACUCCCCAAAACUGGUAACACUGAGUCAUGAACUCUAUAAUAUGGAUACAAGUAUGAAAUACAUAAAUACUAUCUGAACAAUAAAUGCCAAGGAUUGCGAUGAGGAAGUAGCUCUACCUCGGUCUCCAAAACUCACCAAACAGCUCCGCUCACAAAGCUCGAUUGGGUCCAAAUCCUGAAUCUGCACAAUUAAGUGCAGAGUGUAGUAUGAGUACAACCGACCCCAUGUAUUUUAUAAGCAUCAUGACUAACCUCGGCGAGGUAGUAAUGGCAAGAAUAACCUGUCGUUUUUAAAGCGAAAAAGCACAUUCUUUUAAAAAAAUGUAUACAUAAACUUUCUGGAAAUCGAUAGGGCUACGCACCCAACUCAUAAAUUAUCAAAUAAAGCUAUGAGAGGUCUUGAAACAUAGAAAAGGAAGCUACUACUAAAAAUGACCUAUCAGGUCGUCACAUACUAUUUCUUUUUUACAGCAUCAUUUAAAUGUUCUCAGAUCCCAUAUUAUUUCUUAUUUGUUAUACUAUAUUAUCCUAUAGUGUUCAUAUGCUUUGGUAUGAUUUGUUGCUCCAACUGUAUUUUAUGGUUUCAAUGGUAAAAUUUCAUAUUCACAUGUAGUAUUAGUAAUUAAGUGAUAAGGAAGAUUAUUGCUUUAGUUUGUGUUUGGUAAAUAUUUCAUUGCUGUGUUUUAGUUUGUUUGAGGGUGAACCAAUUGUGAUAUUUAAUUGCUUCUUUAGAUUGACGGGGAUGAAUAUUUGCAGUACAAUGAAUAUUCUUGAUAUUUGAUUAGUAAAAGAAUUUGGCUCGGAGAAACAACUUCAUGAGGUGCCGUUCUUUGAAAUAUUUGGGUUGUAGUAUUCUCUCGUAAGAGAUUGGCCUUUUAGAUUAACAGAAAAGAAAUGAAUUUUAGACCCAACACUUUAAGUCUAGCUGUCCAAAGCCAAUAGUAAAAGCUAGUCCAAAGUCAAUCACUUUUAGCUGGCCCAAAUCUUUAAGUCUUUAGUUAUUAAACCAAUUCCGAAUCAUUUAAGCACGUCAGCAUGCUUUUAGGUGUGUUUCUAAAAUUUAACUAACGUGACUAUGUACACGUUUGCGUGACAUAGUCAUGAUCUACAAGUUAAAGGCAAAGUACGCGUUCGUGCGGCUUGACAAACUAUUUUUUUAAAUAAUAAUAAAAAUAUUAUUAAUUAUGUACACGCACACGUGGCAUGAUUUUGAUACACGAACAAGACAAAUACACGUACAUCUGACUUAUUUCAAGAUAAUUUUCAUAAAGCGAUAAUUUAGCAAUUAAAAGCAAAAAUGCAUAAGAUCCCCAAUAUAUAGAAUAUCCUGAAAUUAGAUUAUGCCAAGUGUAAAAUGUUAACCGACCGUACUAAUACUGCAGAACUCGGGGAGUGUCUUACACCUUCUCCCCGGUUAGCAGAAUUUCUUAGCCGGUCUUCUGUGUUAGCAGACUAUAAAUAGAGUCGAAACUUGCCUUGAUUAGGGAUUAAAUAAAAUGGUGACUUGGAACGCCGAAAAUAAACAAUUCCAAGUGAUGACUCCUAAAACUAAAAAAAUAACCCCUUUUCAAAUAAUAUCACUUAUAUUAGAAAAACUCCUUUCCACUCGGAAAAGGGAGGUGUGACACAUGGAUGAGAAGCCCUCUACGAAACAGCGAUAAUAUCCGGCCAAACCAAGAAAACUCUGAAUCUCAGUAGCUGAAGACGGUCUGGUCCAACUCUAAAAUGCUUCAAACUUCUUUGGAUCUAUCUUGAUCCCCACACUCGACGCCACAUGACCCAAAUCAGAUGCUGCUCAUGAUCUUCCCAACUGCGGGAAUAUACAAGAUGUCAUCAAUAAACACAAUGACGAAUGAAUCAAGAUAUGGUUGGAAUACAAUGUUCAUUGGGUGCAUAAAUGUUGAUGGGGCUUUGGUCAGCCCAAAUGACAUCACAAGUAACUCGUAGUGACCAUACCAAGUCCUGAAAGCAGUCUUCAGAAUAUCCGGAUCCUGAAUCUUCAGUUGAUGUUACCCUGACCUCAAAUCAAUCUUUAAGAACACCUUAGCACCCUAUAGCUGGUCAAAUAAGUCAUCAAUGCACAAAAAUGGGUACCUGUUUUUCACUGUAACCUUGUUCAGCUAUCUAUAAUCAAUACACAUGCGCAUAUAACCAUCUUUCUUUUUGACAAACAGAACCGGAGCACCCUAAGGUGACACACUAGGCCGGAUGAAACCCUUAUCAAGCAACUCUUAUAGCUGCUCCUUUAACUUCUUCAACUCUGCUGGUUCCAUACGGUAUGGUGGAAUAGAAAUGGGUUGAGUGUACGGCAACAAGUCAAUACCAAAAUCGAUAUCUCUAUCGGGAGGCAUGCCCGGAAGAUCUGCUGGGAAUACAUCUGGGAAGUUUCUCACUACUGAAACUAACUCAAUGGUAGGAGUAUCAGCACUGACAUCUCUCACAAAGGCUAGAUAUGCAUCACACCCCUUCUCAACCAUCUGAUGUGCCUUAAGGAAGGACACAACCCUGCUAGGAACAUAAUCCAAUAUACCCCUCCACUCUAAUUGCGGAAAACCUAGCAUAGCCAAUGUCACAGUCUUGGCGUGACAGUCCAGAAUAACAUCAUAGGGCAACAACCAGUCUCUGCCCAAGAUAACAUCAAAAUCUACCAUACUAAGUAAUAAUAGAUCAAUUUUGGUCUCAAAAUCACCAAUAACAACUAAACACGAUCGAUACACACGGUCCACAACAAAAGUAUCUCCCACAAGCGUGGACACAUAUACAAGAGAACUCAAAGAAUCACAAGAUAUAUCCAAAUACGGAGCAAACGUAAGAUGAUACAUAUGAGAAAAGAGAGCCGUAUCAAAUAAGACUGAUGCAUCCCAAUAAAAAAUCAGAACAAAAGUGUGAUAACUACAUCUGAUGCGACUACCUCUAUCCUACCCGAAAAAGCAUAGAAUUUGGCAUGGCCUCCUCUUCUAGGGCAACCCCUACCCGCCUGACCUCCACCCCUAGCUGGCUAUGCAGUUGGAGAGGCAACUGGAGCAGCAACCACAACCUAAGAAGUCGGUGGACCCUAUGGAAUACGUGGAGCCUGAGUAUACUAUAAAGGCGCACCCCUCCUGAGUCUAGGGCAGUCCCUCACCAUAUGUCGGGUAUCACCACACUCAAAGAAAACUCUUGGUGGACGUGGCUGCUAAAACUAGCCCUGGCCUAGUCAGCUAGACUGACCACUGAAGGCACCCCAGGUAGGAGGUGCACUAGAUAGUGGCUAAGCAAAAUGGGCAAACUGAGACCUCGGAGUAGUCGGAGCACCAUUAGAACCUGGAAGUGCUGAAUGAACUGUACAGCUCACAUAGCCUUUACCAUGGCGGGAUGUAGCUGCAGCAUGGCCACCACUAAAUCCUAUAGUACCUCAAGGCCUUUUUGUCCUCCCUAUUCUCUAUCUCAUGGCCUCACAUACCCUCCAACCUCCGCGCAAUAUCUACCAUCUGCUAAUAUGGGGUAUCUGUCUCUAACUCUCAAGCCAUGCUGAAUCUAAUACCUUAGUUGAGCCCCUCGACGAAUCGGCGGACUCGCUCUCUACUAUAAAAACCAAUGAAGGUGCAUGUCUGGACAACUCACUAAAUAUGACAACAUACUCUGACACUGUCAUAGCACCCUGGCGCAGCUGCUCAAACUCUGUGCGCCAUACAUCCUGAAGGCUUUAGGAACAAACUCUCUUAAUAACAUCUCUAAAAACUAAAUCCAUGUAAGUGAAGCUGCACCGGCUGGGCUACUCUCCUCGUAAGCCUGCCAUCUCUGACAUGCUGCUCUUGACAACUGAAAAGUAUUAAAAGAAAUGGUGGCACUUCUCUAGAAAACCCUGUGCAUCCCUAUAGCUAGGCUGCUGAAAGUAGGAGGAUGAUACUUCUUGAACCUCUCAAGUCUAAGCUACUCCUCCUCAAAUGACACUGCCCUAACCUCAGGCUGAACGGGAACAAUAUGUUGCGCUGGCAUAACCUCUGGAACCUGAUCAUUAUGGACUCGCUGCUCUAGAGUACGGGCCGUGGGAGUCUAAGCUCCUCCCCCGUCCUGAGAUAUAGCUGGAGCAAGUGGAAUCAACCCCGCCUGAGCUAAAGUACCGAACAUGCUCAAGAAGUUUGCUAGGGUCUCCUAAAGUGCAUGGGUGACAACAUGCAUCUCGGGUGCCUGCCCCUCAACUGGAGCUACUGGUGGCUCCUCAGUCGCUGCUCGGGCAUGUGCUCUAGCUGCACUAUAUGCCCCUCCUCGGCCUCUGCCCCGGUCUCUCGCGGCUCUAGCAGGGGGCGCGAGUGUCUGAUCGUCGGAUCCACCAGUGCGUGUCCUCACCAUCUGUGAUAAAAUAGAAAGACAAAGAUUCAGAAUUUUAAAGUCAACAAGUUCGCACUAUAAGAAAUCAAAGAAGUGAAGUUUCCUAACAGUUUCAUAGCCUCUCGAAGAUAAGUACAGAUGCCUCUGUACCGAUUUGUAGGACUCUACUAAACCUGCUUAUGAGUCUAACAACUAUGAACCUAUAAUUCUGAUACCAACUUGUCACGACCCCAAUUUCCCACCGAAGGAUGUCGUGAUGGCACCUAGUCUCUAAGACUAGGUAAGCCUAACAUGCAUGGAGAAAUACGGAAAUAAUAAUAACACUUAAAAUCCAAACCAUCUAAAUUAUCAUAUUUGAACUCAACAGUACAACUGACAAUAACUCUCAAGAUCUGGUGGAACAGAGUCAUAAGCUCUACAUGAAUAUACUGUAAAAUCCCUAGUACAACACUGUCUAGAUAAGAGUAAACAAUAACAAAAUAAGGACAGAAGGUGACUCCGAGGCCUGCGGACACCGAGAAAGUAUACCUUGAACUCUCCGAACUGUAUGAUCCACUCCCUAAUGCCUAGACUAAGCUGAGGUACCUGGAUCUGCACAAAAAUGUGCAGAAGCAUAGUAUGAGUACACCACGAUGGUACCCAGUAAGUAUCAAGCCUAACCUCGGUAGAGUAUUAACGAGGUCAGGUUAAGACACCUACUAGGAUAAGAAAAGGAAACUGAACAAGUAUAGUAUACUCUAAUAAUAAAAAUGAGGAAAUAAUGGCAAUAAAGCAAUACUACAAAGUAAGCUACAACUGAAUUUAAAGCAAUUAAGGCAACACAGAAGGAACACAAAAUAAGAACAUCAAGAAAACAAUGCGGACUAAUACACGUGAGGUAAAUAAGAGAUAACAACAAGAAUCACAAUCGAGGUACCACCUCAUAAUCUCAUUUCAAUAUCACAAUCACAAUCUUUCCUUAUACCGUAACGUGAGCCUUACAUUUAGAUAGUUUUGAAAAUAUUUUUACCGAAAUAGCUACACGCACUUUAGCCCAUCUUAUGUCGUGGCUUGGCUUCAAGUAAUUCCCUUACCAGCAAUAUGCACAUAGACCCCACCAUAUGUCACCGCUUGCACAUUAACCCUGAUCCUUAUACCGUAACAUGCACAUCAAUAUCACAACAUAAUCACAACUUGCACCACAAGUGCACAUAUGCCACAACUUGCCAAAAUAAUCAACAAAACCAAUGUUUUCCAAAUAAAUAGCCCAUGGCUCAACCACAAUGUGUACAAGAGUCGCAACAAUAAUAAUAUAAUAGAGAAUAGCGGAACAAGAACGAUAUCUCAACAAUUAACAACUUUGCCUCAAAGUGAUAAUGGCUUUUACAACUUCAAUACCAAAUACUAAACAAGAAGAUAUUCCAUGAAAUAACAACUUCAAGUAAUUAAUUCAACAAUUAAAGAAGUAACAAUAUAAUAAGAAAGGCAAUAACUUCAACUAAAGCAUAUAAGAGCAAAAUAACAAGUAAGAGGUGAAACAAGUGUUAACAAUGUCAAAUAAAGCAUAUGAGGGUAGAUUAACACGUGUAACGGUAGAUUAACAAUGAAAGAUAUAACAUGUUAUAACAAUUCAAUUAAAGGCAUAUAAAGAGUCUAAAUAGCCUAAAUCGUUCAAAUACCACAUAUAGCUUGUGUACCCACUCGUCACAUUACGUACACAACUUCCACAUAUCACAAAUAGCACAAUCAACCCAAAUCCUAAGGGGUAGUUUUCCCACACAAAGUUAGGCAAGAUACUUACCUCAAACAAGCCAAAUCAAUCCCCUAAUAAGCCUUUCUCGUGAAAAUCCAACUCCGGACAGCUCGAAUCUAGCAAAAAUAACUUAAUACCAUAAAUACUAACCAUAGGAAACUAUUUCGGAUAAUAAAGUUGAAAUCUUUAAAGAAAGUCAAAAAGUCAACUCAAAAGGUCAACCUCGGGCUCGCACCUCAGAACUAGACCAAACUUAUAGAAUACGAACACCCAUUUACUAGUGAGUCCAACCAUACUAAAAUUAUCCAAUUCCGACCUCAAAUCGACCUUCAAAUCCUCAAUUUAUAGUUUAGGAGGUUUUCACAAUAUUUCCCAAAUUUUCAACUCAAAAUAAUAAUUAAAUGAUAAAUAAAUGAUGAAUUCAUAAAUAAUAAUCAAAUCAAGAGUCAAAAACACUUACCCAGAUCAAAUCCUUAAAAAUCCCUUCGAAAAUCGCCAAAAACCAAGCUCUCUAACUCAAAAGAUGAAAAUAAACUCUAACCCUCGAUUUAGCCCCUUUGGUGCCUAGUUAUUCCACUUUUGUGGUCAUAGGGUUUCUUCUGCGACUCCGCACCUACGGAAAAUCAAUCGCAGGUGCGGCCUCAACUAAGUUAGGGACAUUCCACUUCUGCAGAACAAAAUGCGCAUAUGCGCUUCCGCUUCUGCAGACAAUUGACCGCACAUGCGGUCCUGAGGCUGUUUACCAAACUUUGCUUCUGUGGUGGGAAAACCACACCUGCGUAAGGAUGUCCACACAUGCGGACCCAGCAUCAACCAUCCCAUUACACACAUGCGGCCACUGGACCGCUUCUGCGGUGUCGCACCUGCAACCAAAAGUGCGCAGGUGCGAUUGCACCAGAACUUCAGCUGUGCAGAAAUCCUUCUAAGCCACAAAAUGGACCCAAACCAAUCCAAAUCAUACCCGGGGCCCCGUCCAAACAUACCAUCAAGUUCCAAAACACAUAACGAACCUACUCGAGGCCUAAAAUCACAUCAAACAACAUUAUAUCUACAAUUCGCACCCCUUUUAAAGCCUAUUGAAUCCAUGAACAUUCAACUUCCAAAAGUAACGUUGAUUCAUACCAAACCAACUCCGAUUGACCUCAAAUUUGUACACAAGUCACAAAUGACACAACAGACCUAUUCCAACUCCCGAAAUCGAAAUCUAGACUAGAUAUCCAUAAAGUCAACUCUUGGUUAAACUUCUCAACCUUCCAAACCUUUAACUUUCUAACUACGCCAAUUCAAGACAAAAUGACCUACGAACCUCCAAAUCAAUAUCCGGACACACUCAUAAGUUCAAAAUCACCAUACGAAGCUAUAGAAAUCAUCAAAACUCCAUUCUGGGGUCGUCUACACAAAGGUCAAACUCCGGUAAACUCUUUCAACUUAAGCUUCCAACCUUGGGACUAAGUGUCCCAAUCCACUCUGAAACUCACCUGAAACCAGACCAACUACCUAGGCAAGUCACAUAACCACUAUAUAACAUAGAUGAGGCAAUAAAUAGGGGAAUUGGGCUAAAAUACUCAAAAUGACCGGCCAGGUCUUUACAUCCUCCCCCUCUUAAAACAAAUAUUCAUCCUCGAACGAGUAUAGAGACAUUCCUGAAGUGGUAAAUAGAUGAGUAUAACGGCUACGCAUAUCAUGCUUGGUCUCCCAAGUCUCUUCAACUGGUUGACCCUUCCAUUGAACCUUCACUGAAGCAAUAUUAUUUGAUCUCAACUUUCGAACAUAUCUGUCCAAGAUGGCCACCAACUCCCCAACAUAAGUCAAAUCCUUUUCUAAUUGGACUGAGCUGAAGUCUAAAACAUGGGACGGAUCACCAUGAUACUUCCGGAGCAUGAAAACAUGGAACACCGGGUGAACUACAAAUAAGCUAGGUGGCAAUGCAAGCUUGUAGGCGACCUCUCCCACUCUCUCAGGGGUAUCAAAAGGACCGAUAUACCUAGGGCUCAAUUUGCCCUUCUUUCCGAACCUUAUCACACCCUUCAUAGGUGAAACCCAGGGCAAAACCCUCUCUCUAACCAUGAAUGCAACAUCACGAUUGCAAUUGGGUCAUGACAUACAUCCUACAUAACGUAGAGGCUACUCAAGUAACCUCGGCUUAAUCAGAAAAACAAAUUGAAAUCCUAGGAAUUCAGAGUUAGCAAAAUAAUCAUAUCUGAGAAGAAAUGGUCAUAUCUUGGGCCAUAUUAAUAACUUUUGGGUAACAUUUAUAUAUAAAUAGUAAUACAACUCUAACACUUUAAAAAUAUUUUCCUUUGCAAUAGAAACUAUUUAUUUUAUUGAUUGAUUAUGAGAAAAUAAAUAAGUUAUUUUUCGAAAAAACAAUUCAUACCAAACACACCCAAAGGGGAAAAACUCUAUCAUUUUCACGAACACAAUAACAACAUCAAAAAUUGCAAACUAAGAAAAGAAAGGGUAACAUAAAAACCAAAAUAUCAAGAAUAAAACAAGGAGAAAAGGUCUUAUUCUAGGCCUUAUCAAUACUAGCUUAAGGUGCCACAACCCAAAAUCCAACUAGCUGUGAUGACACCUAACCCGACCCGCUAGGUAAGCCAAAUAAAAUUCAAUACAACCCAACUGAGAAUAAUAAGAGUCAAUAAAUAAAAUAACUAAAUUUCUAUACAAAAUUCCAAGGAUUGGUAGUACAAGUCAUGAGCUACUAAGACUUCAUAUUUACAAAACUGGCAUGAAAAAUAACUACAAUGUCUGUUUGAAUAUACAUAAACAGAACUCAAAUCUAGAACUACCAAGAACAGGUGGUAGCCAUGUUCGGACAAUGGGCACAUAUUCAAUUCAACUUCCACCUUGUGCAACAAUAUCAGCUCCAAGAUCUGCACGCAAGGUGCAGAAGUAUAUUAUGAGUACAACCGACCCUAUGUACUCAAUAAGUAACAAACCUAACCUCAGGUUGAAAGCAGUGACAAGCUUGGAAGAAGGCCAGUGUACAACACCAAUAGCCAAUAACAACUCGUAGUAAUAUAAUGAGAUUAGUAAAGGUAAAUAACUCAAGAGAUAUAUGCUCAGCUCAUUCAUAGUUACUCGAAAGUAAGCAUGCUUUUCAAUUAUAACAGUCAGGUCCAAAUCUUACCACUGAAAAUCAACUAAACAUCAGUUUAUCAAAGACUGUAUUCCAAAUUCACAACACAAGAUAAGAAUCUCUGUUUAUCAAUUAGCAUGAGGAAAGUACAUAUAUAUGCCUACAUGUCAAUAUACAUGCCACGUCAUCAAUUAUCAUAUACCGUCUAUCAUGAGGAAUAUACAUCUCUAUGACAACAUGUCAAAUAUGCAUGUCAAAUGAAUGAUUUCACGGUGAUAUCCCUAGGUACUUUCACUCUCAACAUACUCAAGUUGUUUAUCCCAAAUGUCCACUUCAUCACACACAUACAAUCACUCAACACUGUAUGGGUGCCUUGCAUCAAUGCCCCUCACCAAAGCACGUGUAUGUAUGUCAAUGUGCUUGCGUUCACUGCUACUAUGUUAGACUCUAGAGGGUGGAUCCUGCCCUAGCGCUAAUCAAAAGCUAAUAAGGCCUGAAGUGCGUGUAGCCCGAUCCACAAUAAUAAUAAUAAUAAUAAUAAUAAUAAUAAUAAUAAUAAUAAUAAUAAAUUCAAUAAUGCAUGUUGCAGAGUGCAGCCCGAUCCACAAUAAUAACAAAGCCAAUAAGGCAUGUUGCGACAUGCAGCCCGAUCCACAAUAAUAAUAAUAAUAAUAAUAAUAAUAAUAAUAAUAAUAAUAAUAAUAAUAAUAAUAAUAAUAAUAAUAAUAAUAAUAAUAAUNNNNNNNNNNNNNNNNNNNNNNNNNUACUACUCAGCCCAACAACUCCACAUAUGGGAAAAAAUAAUGGUAACAUACGAUGAAUGAAGAACAGAGACUGAGAUAGAAUAUGUAAAUGAAGAACCAUGAUUGAGUGUAUAAUUACGGUUAAAUCAGAUAAUUCAAAAUAAUAGAAAUAGCCUCAUUAGGUCUCGACCGAAUGAGCACAUAGCCUAAACGUGACUUCUAACAUGAAUCACAGCUCAGGUAAUCAAACAAGUAGGAAGCAUAUGUAUAAAAUAAGACAUGAUGGCAAAACAGUACAAAAGUCAGCCCGAAUCAUGAUUAUCUGGUGCACGCCCACACGCCCGUCACCUAGCAUGUGCGUCAUCCCAACACAUCACAAAUAACAUGGUUCCCAGGGAUAUUUACCCUAAAUUCCAAGUUUAGAAAUGUUACUUACCCUGAACAAGAUAAAUCCAUUAGCGAGCAAGCCAAACAAUACUCUAGAAAUGUCAUCCCGCGCAUAUCAACCUCAAAACGGCUUGAAACUAGCCAAAAGCAACUCAAAAUAAUCAAAUAAUGCCAAAGGAAACAAACUCAAACGAAAAAGGUCGAAUCUUUAAUCAAAUAUUCAAAGUCAACCAAAAGGUUAACCCCGGGCUCGUACCUCGAAACCUAACAAAACUUACAAAAUCAGAUAACUCAUUUAAUUACGACUCCAACUAUACUAAUUUCACUCAAAUCUGACUCCGUAUCGAUAUUCAAAACUCAAUUAUUCACUUUAGAAAUGUUUUUGAUAAACGAAAACCCCCAAUGCUCCAACAAAAAUAUAGAUUAAUUCACAAAUGAACUACUGUAAUCAUGUUUAAAAUAUAAAAAUUAAGGUUAGAUAUUGACCCCCCAUGAAAAUACCUGAAGAACGCCGCAAAAAUCACCUCAAUCGGAGCUCUAGAACUCAAGAUAUGCUCAAAUUACCAAAAGAACGUUAUCUGAUUUUUUUAUACACAGGGAUUUCCGCUUUUGAGCCCAAAAAUCCGCACUUGAGGUUUUCCAGCUGUCAUUUCCGCUUUUUCGGACCAUUCUUUACACCUGCGGGGUCGCAAAUGCGGACCCAACUUCGCAUCUGCGAAGCACGGGCACUAGAUUUCUUCUACGAUACUAAAAUGAUCAUAACUCCCUCAUACGAUUUUCACAUUUGACAAUUAUUUUUGCUAUGGAUCCGUAAUUAUGAUAUGGAUCCAAUGCUUCAAUCAAAACAUAAUUUAGAGCUCGUUUUCUUAAUGGGGUCCCACUUAUGCUUGAAGAAACGAUGCCAAAACAUCAAAAACGAGCGCAACACAACCUAAACCUAUCCGAAACUUACCCGAGCCCCUCGGGACCCCGUCCGAACAUACCAAUAAGUCCCAAAACAUAAUAAGGACUGCAUGAGGCCUUAAAUCCAACAUAACAACAUCAAAACCAUGAAUCGUCUAUCAAGAUCAAUCUCUUAAGUCCAUAAACUUCAAAAUUCGAACCAAGUAUCUGAUUCAAGCCUAACCAAUCCAAAAUGAACCCAAAUUUUGCAUACAAGUUCCAAAUGACAUAUUGAACCUAUUCCAACUAUCGAAACAAAAAUAUGAUCAUGAUAACAUUGAAGUCAACUCCCCGUCAAACCUAUGAACUUUCCAAACCUUCAAAUUGUCAACUUUCGCCAAUUAGCGCCAAAACCUUCUAGAAACAUCCAAAUACAAAUCCGAGCAUACGCUUAAGUCCAAAAUCACCAUCCAGACCUAUCAGAACCAUCAAAACCCUGAUCUGAUGUCAAAUACACAAAAAGUAAAACUUGGUCGUCUCUUCGAACUUAAAGCUACCUAAUUGAGAAGCAUUCCUCCAAAUCAAUCACGAAUCACCCGAAAAUUAGAACCGAUAAUACACACAUGUCAUAAUAUAUUAUACGAAGCUACUGAUGCCCUCAAACCACCGAACGGAAUGCAAAUGCUCAAAAUGAUCGAUCGGGUCAUUACAUUCUCCCCCACUUAAACAUAUGUUCGUCCUCGAACGUGCCAAGGGUCAUUUCAAAGCCAUAAAAUCAUCGUAUAACCUCCUCUUACACAUACCCGUGGGUGAUCCCACAUCACCCCAAUACUUAUAAGCCUGAAAACACAACGUAACUGAAGAUCCUUAUAUCAACCUUAGUCUAUAAACCUUAGAAUCAAAUCUCCAACAUCUGGAACUCAUUAUAAGACCUGAUUCUCGCAUCUAUGCAUAGGGCAAGUCUGAACAAGCCGUAUCAAUUCAUAACCAUAACCCCAGAUAAAAUCGCAUGAUAUACUACAUAACCCAAAUUCUCAUAGCAAUAACUUCCUACCACAAUAGCUGCUCAAUAAUAAACCCGGUACCAGUAACAAACUUCAUAUAAAAUAUGUAAUGAUCCAACUGGUUGAUUUGAGCAUUUGUAUUCCGUUCAGUUGUUUGAAGUCUUGAGUAGCUUUAUAUGAUGUAUUAUGACUUGUUUAAAUCAUCGAUUUUUGGUUUUCAGGUGAUUCAGGAUUGAUUUGGAAGAAUGAUUCUCAACUAGAAAGCUUUAAGUAGGAAGAGUAGACCAAGUUUGACUUUUGUGUAUUUGACCUCGGAUCGGAGUUUUGAUGGUCCUUUUAGGUCCAGAGGUUUAUUUUUGACUUGGGCAUAUGCCCGGAUUUGCAUUUGGAAGUCGCUAGAAGGUUUCAGUAUUAUUUGGCAAAAGUUGGCAAUUUGAAGGUUUGAAAAGUUUAUAAGUUUGACCGGGAGUUGACCUUAAUGAUAUCGGGUUCGGAUUAUUAUUUUGGGAGUUGGAAUAGGUUCUUUAUAUCAUUUGGAACUUGUGUGAAACAUUUGAGGUCAUUCCAGUUGAUUUGAUAUGGUUCGACACGAGCUUUCGAAGUUGAAAGUUCAUAAAGUUUGAUUUGAGGUGCGAUUCACGAUUUUGAUGUUGUUAUGUGAGAUUUGAGGCCUAGAGUAGGUCCAUGUUAUGUUUUGGGACUUGUUAGCAUGUUCGGACGGGAUCCCAAGGGGCUCGGGUGAGUUUCGAAUCAUUUCCAUGUUCUUUGGUACUGCUAAUUUCUGGUGUUUUAGGCCUUCUCCGCGAUCGCGAAGAUUGGAUCGCGUAGUGUAUCAUGGGAGCUGGGUAUUUCCUUCAUCGCAUUCACAACUGGUUAAUACAUAGAACACAUCAGAACACGAAUAACAUUAACUCUAAUCGAUGACAACACCCGCUAUAAUAAUUGCGCUGAGUAAACAAGUUUGUCCCGAUGUAGAAUAUACAUUUUCAUUAGGCCUACCAGCGGCCUCCAAAUGAAUUCUGAUCCUUCCAAAAUAGCUGGAUAGCCUCUGAAAAUCCCACAAUAGCAUAUCUAUAACACAUAUCAUCAGUCUCCAACCUCUUAACAUACAUUUACCGCCCGCAACCGUGGAAUAAGUUAGCUCUGAGAAACUUCUUAGUCUUCUUAUCCUUAGAGUGCAAGAAUCUCCUUAUCCGAUCCCAACUGCACUACUAAAAUGACUAACACCUUCCCCAUACACGAUCAUCCUAUGAUAAAUAUUCCAUAAUUUGUUCGUGCCAUAUAGAAAAAUUUGAACAUCAACGGUCGAUCAAUUAGGCAAUUACCGUAAUACUAGUCAAGCAUCCGUUAGUCGAAGCACAAUGUGCCUUCUCGAGUAGGCACCCUUCUCAGGUGGUACCAAAUGAUGCUAGAAUUCUUCUAAACAUCUGAAAUUGUCCAUGUUGUCUUCAACUUGUGACCCCAUCCAAACAAAAAUCAUAACACGCAACAUGUUCCUUCUGCCGGUAGCAGACAUCUAGUUCAAGCCAUGGUCGACACUAUCAAGAACUCUUCGAGACCCGUAUGCCACAACCAAGCCAUUAGAACUGAACUUCCUCAACUCAACGAAGUCACGCAAGCCAUCAAACCCAAGAGUACUGCCACAAAAAUGCUGGUAAGGCAUAACCAUACCAAGAGAACCAAUUACCUUUAUUACCAUGCUGACACAACACCACCAAGCUGACCCACUUCCUAUAAUCUUCCCCGACUUGUCUUCAAGUUAACACUUCUCCUCGUCGGUACACAAUGAUUCCAAAUCAAAGCUCGCUGCAGGAGAUACUAGCACGAACCACGUCGUCUGAAGGACCAUAAAUUUUUGUAUUUCCUCUGAAUCACCCAACAAUGCUACAACUGAGAUACCCACUCUGAAGAGACCUUCUAUGAAUCUAAAGAUGCUCAUCUAACCUCUCUGAUACUGAAAUGUAGAUUUAGCAGUAAUACAUAUAUACCGCAUAUAUACCUCAGACCCAAAGCUGAUAUAACACUUGUCCAUGCAAUAUGAUUGUCGAUAGUUAACUCUCCACUUGGCGCGAAGCCAUAGGACAAAACAUCUGAUGAUCCACAAUACCAACCUUCAUAAGCUAAUACAGCACCAGUCAAAUACAAAAACCCGUUGCAUCGCACACAUGAAGAACUGAUGAUCAACAAAAACCCGUUGCAUCCCACACAUGAAGAACUGAUGAUCAACCAAAACGUACGUGUCCUCAGUCUAGACAACACCUUUAGACAAUGAUCGAGCAUCCAUGGACCCCUCGUAUCCCAUCCGUAGUAUUCAGAAUCAUCGAAGCAUAGGUGAUACCGAGUGCGCAUCAUCAUAGACGAGUGGAUAUAAAGGUGUUACACCCCAUGUUUUCGUACGUAAAACUUUGUUGCAAUCAAUUUAUGUAAGUUAUGAAAUGAGAUCAUCUUUGAAAGUACAUAAAUUAAGUUAAUCAUGUUAACUUGGAGGUUACAAACACUUAAGAUCAUGAACUGCAAGUACCAAGAGGGUUGGAAGGCUUAGAAGCUAUAUGAAUUGAAGAAAAUAAGUUUUGUCAAAAGUUGACAAGUUGGGAAUGUUAUAACAUGUACUUUGGGGGUGAGACUAAGGUUCUCAACGUGAUAAGGAGGUUAUGUUAUGAGUUAUUGUAGUCUUUAUAGUCUUGUGUUAUGUUUUGAAGUUAAGCGAGUUGUGGAACAAAAGUUGGCAAAGGUCAUCACAAGUUACAUUCAUAAAUGUGCUGAACAUUUGGUCAAAUAUAGUUGAGAUUUUCUCACAUUGUACUUAGAAUUAGGGGAUUAUCUACCUAUAUCAUUGAAUAUCUACGAGUCUAGUUUCUAACUCAUUAAACCGUUCAUUGAUACGACAUUGGAGUAGAGAGAUAUUCGCAUUUGUGUGAGACUGCGCAAGCAACUCCCUUGGGACCCACAAAGUCGAUAGAAAAGUCCAUCUCUUAUUUAAGUCAAUUUUAACUCAUUUAAACUCAUUGUUUCUCAACCAAAACAGUUCCAAAACAGUUUCAAGGCAAACUACAAGUGUUUACACACCAACUUGAACACCAAAAGUUGAUUCAAGAAGAGAAUACAACACUUAUAAUGUUGUGGUGCCAUUGAGGAUAGUUGUGGGCUGUGUUUAGCUGCAAUUUCUUGUUGUUUCUACUGUUUAAGGUGAGUAUAACAGCCUACUACAUGUUCUUGAAGUUUUUUGUAUGUUGGUUGCAUUAUUUGUGCAAAAUACUAUAAGAGGAGACUUGAAAUAGUUUGAGAUGUUAUUGUUUUUAAUGGACUGUUUUGGAAAGGUUGUUUCCAUGAAGUUUAAAUGGUUUAAACCUUGGAAAAUGACUUUAUUAUGAUCUUUGUAUUAUAAAUAUAUCGUCUACAAGUAAAACUUGUUGUUGGUACUGUGAAUAUGAAGAGAAAGGACAACAUAAUAAUGGAAAGUUAUAAUUGUUGUUGUUGUUACAUUGUUGGGCUGUUUGGGGGAGAAUUAGGAGAUGAAUUGGAGGUUAGAAGACCUCCCAUUAUACUUAAUAUCAUGCUUGAUAUGUUGUUAAGUUAAUGAAUUUGCGGUUAAAGGGUUCAAAAGAUAUUCAAUCCGAGCUUGUCGUUCGUCGUGUUAAAUAGUGAUUUCGUUGGUGUUGUUUAUGCACUUGUUAUUGUGUAGCUUGAUUUGUGUUAUGGUGCUGAAAGUAUAUAUGUGAAGGUUGUAUGGGUUCUUGUUAGUUUAUGGACUUGGGAAUGCAAGAAAAACAGGGGAGAUGCCGCCCGUUUUAAUACAAAAUAAGCUUGUCGUUCAUUGUUUGAUAGUUGCAUCUUUCGUAGCUUAACGAUAGCAUUAUUAUCGUUGCUGUAGAUUGAAGUGUGGCGAGACAAUUUCAACAUGGUUAUUGGACAUCGUGUGAUAAGGUAUGUUAAGUCUAAACCUUUCCUUCAUUUUGGCAUGAUCCCAUAACUACAUGCGUUUGAUAACGAGACAUAAUGAGAAGUUCGUAUUCAUGAAUUUAUGAACAUUAUCCUUGUCUUAUAAGUUAUCGUAUUCUCCCUUAUCGGGACUUUAUAUUCAGUUAAGUAUUGUCUUCUUCCAGUCAAGAGAGUAGAUGGUCUAUAAAUAAACAUACAGUAUUACAAUAUUUUCACCACCAUUGAGCUAUAAUCGGCGGGCAGACCCCUAUUGGGCGUAUUACAAUAUUUUUGCCACCAUCGAGUUAAAAUCGGUGGGCAGGUCCCUAUUGGGCAACCUCUAAUUACAUAGUAAGUUAUACACCAGCCUACUGUGGCUGAGCGCCUAUGAGAGAGCCCAGAAUGGACGAGAUACCGAGCCUAGUAUGGCCGAGCGUCUAUGAGCAAGCCUAUUAUGGUAGAGCAGUUAUACGUAUCUAGCCUUAAAGGGUCGGACAACUNNNNNNNNNNNNNNNNNNNNNNNNNNNNNNNNNNNNNNNNNNNNNNNNNNNNNNNNNNNNNNNNNNNNNNNNNNNNNNNNNNNNNNNNNNNNNNNNNNNNNNNNNNNNNNNNNNNNNNNNNNNNNNNNNNNNNNNNNNNNNNNNNNNNNNNNNNNNNNNNNNNNNNNNNNNNNNNNNNNNNNNNNNNNNNNNNNNNNNNNNNNNNNNNNNNNNNNNNNNNNNNNNNNNNNNNNNNNNNNNNNNNNNNNNNNNNNNNNNNNNNNNNNNNNNNNNNNNNNNNNNNNNNNNNNNNNNNNNNNNNNNNNNNNNNNNNNNNNNNNNNNNNNNNNNNUCAGUUAUUAUGUUAUCAAUUCAGUCUCAAUUUUCAGUUAUUCUAUUGCCUUACAUACUCGGUAUAUUAUUUCGUACUUACGUCCCUUCUGUUGGGGACUCUGCAUUUUAUGCCUGCAGGUUCUGAUAGACAGCUGGAUAGACCUUCCCAGUAGACAGAUCCAAACAUAAGCUUGGUUAGUAAGCUCCACUUUCCCGGAGUUACCAGGUCUAGACGUUAGAGUCCAUUUUAUAUAUACGGGUUUGAUGGGUAGGUCGAGGCCCUGUCCCGACCAUGAUAUUGUUCAGUUAUCUCUAGAGGCUUGUAGAUGAGUCCUGUAUAUUUUGUAUAUCAGUAUUUUAGCCUUGUCAUCCAUGUGUACAUGUUCAGUUAUGUAUUGUUGGUUGUAGACGUUCAUGGUGGCCUCGUCGGCCUACACAAUUUUGUAUAUAAGCUUUUAGGUAUGUUUACCCCUCAUAUGAGAGAGACGUUAUAUUUAGAUGGUUUAGAAUAUGGUCCCAUCAGCCUUGAUUGGUAUUGUCAGCUCGUAUGUAGGCUUCAUCGGCCUAAGUUGAGGGUUACCCCUCCAGAGUUCACAAUUACAGAGUGGUAUGCUCAAGCAAACCACGCCUCCCCAGGUUUGGGGCAUAAAAAAGGAAUAUAAGAUGUAUGCUUCAAGAUGAAUCAAUACCACACGAUAAGGAAUGAAAGAAGUUCAAUUUCCUAAUAGUUUCGUAACCUCUCGAUUAUAAGUACAGAUAUCUCCAUUCCGAUGUACAAGACUCUACUAAACCUGUUUAUGACUCGUAGCACCUAUGAACCUAAAUCUCUGAUACCAACUUGUCACGAUCCUAAAUUCCCACCUUAAGAUGUCGUUAUGGCACCUAGUCUCUAAGACUAGGUAAGCCUCCUAUCACAUGAUGAGUUAAUAACAGAAUUGAACUAUUUUAUCAUUAAAUCAUAAACCAGUAAAUGACAUACAUAACUGCAAUGGCCAAUAGUUAUACAUUUCCCAAAAUCGGUAGUGCGGAGCCAUAAGCUCUGCUGAAAUACACUGGAAUUUCUAAAUACUAUAUUGUUUCAAUUUACAAUUUAACAGUAGCAUAAGGAAGUAAGAUGGUGACUCCGAGGCUUGCGAGUGUCAAGCAGGUAUACUUUGAAGUCUCCAUCGCGCAGACGCAACUCUCAAUAUCACGAUCAGAAAUACCUGGAGCUGAACAAAAAUGUACAAAAGCAUAGAAUGAGUACACCACAACGGUACCCAGUAAGUAUCACGCCUAACCUCGGUAUAGUAGUGAUGAGGCUAGGUCAAGAUACCUACUAGACAUAGAAACCUGUACAAGAUAUGCAUGAAGAUAACAAUGGAAAGAACACCAAUGUAAGGAUAACAGCGAAAAGAUUAUUGAUUUUUAACCAACAACAAAAUAAUAGAAACACAAAUGGCAGCAAGUAGUAAAUAGGUAAUAGAGAAGCAACAUAAUAAGAACACCGAUGAGAUAUGAAUGAACUCAAAUAAGGAGGAACCAAUAACAGCUCAAAUAAUCAAAUCGUUCCCAAUGCAUGGGCCUAAACCAAGAAUUACUCUGAGGCACCACACCUCGUAAAUCACAAAUCAUGUACCACAAUUUCCAAAUCUUACACGUAUGGCACCUCGUGCCCACAAUAACAAUUACCUUCACACGGGAAGGCCCAUGUGCUACCAUGUAUAUUGCAACCAUAACAAAUAUCAAUUAAAAUGAUUGAGAGUUAUAUUUAGACACCAUAAAGGAAAAUAGCAAUCUUGAAUAAAGUAAGGCGUCAAAUGAAAUAAUGAGUUUAUUUUAGAAAUCAAUUAAAGUAUACAAUUUAUAUAAAAUGGGGUAUCAUAUGGUUUUAGUUUAGAAAUCAAUAAAAUUGAGUAAAAAGUCAUAUUUAAACAAAGUAAAACAUCAGUUAAAUUAAUGAAUUAAAUAUAGAAUUUGUUAAAAGAGAAACGUGAUAACAAUUUUAAGUAAGGUAACCAAUCAAUAUGGUGUUGAGUAUAAUUUGAGGACCGAAUUAUAGUAAAAGGGAGAUAACCAUUUAAAAUAAUAAGGCACCUAGUGAGAUAGCAAGUUCUAUCUUAAGAGACACAUAGAAUAAAGCAUAUCAAUAAUUCUAUUAUUUAAAUCGUUAUGCUACCAAUAACUCAAUAAAAUAUGAUAUAAUGACUCCACACAAUUAAACUGACAUUUACAAUCAAUUUAUCAAGUUAUAACGGAGGCACAAAUUGACAUGUUAAAGUAAUACAACAAAUCACGUAGAAUGCAUGACCCACACAAGAAGCCACAAUCGUUCCAAUACCAAGAUAACAACGAAUAACCAAACACAAUCAAAAUGCGGAUGAAUGAUUGAAUGAAGAAUAAUAACCAUUCAAAUGAACAAGUUGUCCCAGCCUAGAAUGUACAAUAAGAAUUACAACUGAGGUACCGCCUCAAAAUCACAUUUCACAAGUCAUAAUCACAAUUUUUCCUUAUAUCAUAGCGUGAGCCUUACAUUUAGUUUUAAAAAUCAUUUUCCCGAAAUAGCUACACGCGUUUUAGCCCAACUUAUCUCACUGUGUGGCUUCAAGUAGAUCCCCUACUAGCAACAUACGUAUCAAGCCCACCUUAUCUCACCUCAUGCGUAUCAACCUCUAGCCUUAUACCACCGCAUGCGUAUCAAUAUCAGAACACAAUCACAAUUUGCACCACAAGUGCCCAUAUGCCAAAACUUGCCAAAAUAUCAACAACACCAAUGUUACCACAACAAAUAGCUCACGGCUCAACCACAACAUGUACAAGAAUCUCAAUAACAACCAAAUGAACGAGGAAUAACUCAACAAAUAAAGGUAUUCCAAUAACCAACAAUUUCAACCACAAACGUGUCAAUAACUCUCAACAACUACAACUUCCAUAACUCAACAAUGAAGGUAUUUCCAUUAAAUUGCAACUUCAAAUUCAAAUGCAUAACAUAAGCUCAACAACAAGAGAGGUAGCAUGAAAUAGCAACUAUGAUUAAAUGCAUAAGAAUAACUCAACAAUGUAAAGAAUAGCAUGUAACAACAACUACUAAUAAAUGCAUAUAAGAGUAACUUCGACAAUGGAAACUAGAACAUGUAAUAACAACUUCAAGUAAAGCAUGUAAGAAUAAACUUGACAACGAAAGAUUGAACAAUUAAUAACAACUUUAAUUAAAUGCUUAUAACUAACCUAAGAGUCUAAACCUGUCAAUUUUCACAUAUAAGCCCGUGUACAUACUCGUCAUCUCAUGUACACGUCUUCCACAUAAUUAAAAUAGUACAAUCGAACCCAAUCCUAAGGGGUAUUUCCCCACACAAAGUUAGGCAAGAUACUUACCUCAGAAAGAAGCUAAAUAAAUACUCUAAGAAGCCCUUCCCGAGUGAAACAAUCUCCAGACGGCUCAAAUCCUGUCAAAAUAACUUAAUAUCAUAAAUAAAAGUCAUAGGAAAUAAUUUCGAAUAAUAAAGCUUCGAUCUUUAAUGAACCCUGGGCCCGUACCUCGAAACUCGACAAAGCUUACAAAUUCUGAACACACAUUCCGAGACGAGUCCAAACAUACUAAAAUCAUUCAAUUCCGACCUCAAAUCGGCCUUCAAACUAUCAAUUUGUGUUUUAGAAAGUUUUUACUAAAAUACCCACUUUCUCCAAUUCAAAUUAUUAAUCAAACACUAAAAUCGAGGUUAGAAUAAUGAAAUAAUAACAAAUCUGAGUCAAAAAUACUUACCCCAAUCUAAGUAGUAAAAAUUUCCUCCAAAUUCGCCCAAAUCCAAACUCUAAAACCUUGUGAAAAAGUAACUAAAUUCUGAAACAAGAAACAAAUGCAGUCCCAGAUCGAGAUCCUAUCUCAUGACCCAAAACCCACUAUAGGCCGUGUUGGCGACUAACGUCACUGUUAGGCAAGCCAAUGGUGAACUAUCACGUCAAUUAUUCAUUUUAUUACUUUGAAAAUCAUAAAUUUUAUUAACUAAGGAUAUUUACACCUUUAAAAUCACGGGUACAUACAUAAUUAGUAUUUCAUAAAAAAAGUGAUAAUAAUAUGCAAAUAUGUAAGCAUCAACUAGAAUAUCCCCAAAAUCUGGUGUCACAAGUGCAUGAGCAUUUACUAAGGAGUAUAGUAAUAGUACAACAUCUGUCUGGAAUGUAAUGAGACAAGAUAUAGUAAAUAGUACGAUGGAGACUAUGUGGGCUGCGAUACGUAGCCUGGAAUGCAGCUCACCAUAAAGUCUCCCCAGCAGAUGCGCCUAUGCGCCAAGAUGACCACCAAUGAACCUGUCAGAUCCUGCACAUUUAGUGCAGAAGUGCAAUAUGAGUACGUAAAUCAAAGAGUACCUAGUAAGUAUCUAGCCUAACUCCAGAGAAGUAGUGACGAGGGGUCGACAUCGACACUUACUGUCCAAUAAAUCAGUAAGAUAAAUCAUAAACAGAUAUGAAGCACAACAGUAAUAAUGGGGUAAAACUGUAAUUUACAUAAUCUUCCAAAAAUUUAUUUUAAAGAUAUAAAUUUCUCAAUCUCGUAUUAUAUCUCAACAGCUCAUAUAUAUCCAGUACCAGUAUCAAACGGAUAAGGAAUACCAUAUAAAAUGUGAGGCGUCAGUGGAAGGAUAAUCUCGUGAAUAUUCGAACGUGUAGCGAUAUAACGCACGAUUAUGCCGAGGUCAUAUGGCCCGAUCCAGAAUAAUAUGUACACUAUCGAGGGUCGACCGACACGAACCAUAGAUGCAUCUACUAUAUUGCCGAGGUGUUCGGCCUGCUCCACAAGAAAGGAAGGAACUUAUCGAAUUACGAGGCAUGUACUUACAAUAUAGGUACAGGAGCAUAAAGUGGAUAUAACCUUUACCGUUUCUCAAUUAAAUGACCAACAACUCAGGGUGAAAAAGCUCGGCCUAGUAUAUGUGUAUUUCCAAACAAAUUUCAAUUAUGAAUUCAACAAUUAUUUAAGCUAGCAAUGGAGUUCAAAUAAUUCAAAUAUUACAUGAUAAACACCUGAGUCUACCCGGACAUAAACAUACUUUAGCUACGUACCGACUCUCGUCACCUCGUGUGUACGUAGCACCCAUAACUAGUAGCACAUAAGAAUUACAUCAUCUAGGAGGUAAUUUCCCCCUCACAAGGUUAGACAGGAGACUUACCUUGCUCCGAAGUUCCAUAACCGGCUCCCAUGCCUCUCUAACUCUUCAACUCAAAGCCAAACGAUCCAGAACUAGUCAAACAAUGUGGAAAUCAAUCAAAAUAUACUCUAAUGCGUAUAAUUUAACCAUUUAUAGUGAUUUCCAACUCCGCUUAAAAAGUCAACAAAGUCAACCCUCGGCUCGACAUGCCCGAAUUUCUAAAAUUCUUGAAGACAAUCAUUACCCAUAAUGCCACGAACUCAAAUAUACAAUUUCUUCCUAAUUCCUUGUCCAAUUUCGUGGUCAAAAUCCAAAAAUAGCAUUUUUUUAGGUUUUCUACUAAAAUUCCACAUAUUCUACCGAUAUCCAUGUUUAAAUCCAUAUAUAACUCAUGUACUUAGCUCACAAUGUGUAGAAAUUCCUUACCUCAAGGUAGAUGAUGAAGUUGGCUCCUCCAAAUCGCCCUAAAAAUCGCCCAAGCAAGAGAGGAAUGAGGGAAAUGAGAAAACAAUCCCAAUUGAGCAACAUAUAUUUUGCCUAGGCGUCUUCGCACCUGCGGGCACCCUAGCCGCACCUGCGGCUCCGCUUUUGUGGAAAAAUGUCUGCUCCUACGGAAGUCACUUAGGCCUCGCUUCUGUGCUUCUGCUCCUGCGGAGCCCAUCCGCUUCUGCGAAGCUAGCCACACCUCUCCAACUUGGCAUCUGCGGAGCCUCGUCGCAUAUGCGGGCUCGCAGAUGCAAAAAUCCUCCUCACACCUGUGACCACUACCCAGCUCACCCAUAACCACUUCUGCGACCCCUUGGCCGUUUUUGCGGUCUCGCACCUGCGGCCAAAAACCUCACAGGUGCGAUCACACUAGAAGCCUUAAGCUUCAGCAAUCCCUUAAGUCCAAAACUCGACUCGAUUCCAAUCUGAUUUGCACUCGAGGCCCCCCGGGACCCCAUCCAAACAUACCAACACAUCCCAAAACAUAAUACGAACUUAGUCGAAGCCUCAAAUCAUGUCGAACAAUAUCAAAAUUAUGAAUCGACGAUCGAAACCUUUCUUUAAACUUACCAACUUCCAAACUUUGUCGAACACGUCCGAAUCACACUUAAACAUCCCGAAAUGAUGCCAAACUUUGCGUGCAAGUCACAAAUCACGAUACGAAUCUAUUCCAAGGCUCGAAACUCCAAACGGACAUCGAUAACACCAAAGUCCACUUCAAAUUAAACUUAGGAAAUUCUAAAACCUCCAAAAUGCCAACUUUCCAUAUUAAGCACCGAAAUGCCCCCGUACUACUCGAUACUCAAUCCGAACAUACGCCCAUGUCUGAAAUCAUCUUGCGAACCUAUUGGAACCUUCAAAUCCCGAUUUCGAGGUCGUUUACUCAAAAGUCAAACCUUAGUUAACUCUUUCAACUUAAAGCUUCCGGAUUAGAAAUUUCUAUCUAAAUCAACUCUAAACUUUCCGAAAUUCAAUUCCGACCACACGUACAAGGCACAAUACCUGAAGUGAAGCUACUCAAGGCCUCAAACCGCCAAACGACGUGCUAGGGCUCAGAACAACCGGUCGGGUUGUUGCAUCCUAGAUGAUCCCAAAACUUAUGUUUGAUAAGCCUUACACGAUCUUUGCGAGAUUACACCCAAGAUAGCCUCUUGAAUCACCCAAUUUGACCUUAAAAUGAGGGAGAUAUGAUAUUUUUGAAGUUUUAAAAGAAAUCUGAAAAUUCAAUGGAAUAUUCGUAAUUAUUUACAUCAGAAAAAAAACGAGCAAUAAGAAAAUCUUCGUUUUAACACCCAAAACUUAUUCGGAACCUCCCCAACACAAACCAUAUAUGCAUUUCAAUCAUACAACACGCUACAAACCUGCUCGAGCACUCAAAACAUCAAAAAGAGGUCAUCUUGAUCCGAUAUUGACCAUGGUCAAACUUCAAAUCCUUAACUAGUUUGUCAACCAAUGUUCCAAAAUACAUCCGAGACCCCGGGACCCCAUCCAAUCAUAUCAACAAGUACAAGUACGUCAUACAAAUUUAUCCAAAUCCUCAAAACACCAACGGGAAAAUCACAACAAAGAAUCGAGGCUCAAACACUUCGGAUUACUUUCAAACUUUGCUCACAAGUUCAACUCAACUAUAUAAACCUUUCCAAAGUCUCGGAAUAUCAAUUGGAGUCCAAUAAUAUCAAAGUCAACUCUUGGUCAAACUUAUGAACUCUUAAGUUUUUCAAAUUACAACUUUCGACAAAUAGUGUCGAAUUCUUCUAGGAACCUCCGAAACCAAAUCCAAACAUACGUACAAGUUCAAAAUUAUUAUACAAACCUAUCAGAAUAAUCAAAACCCGAUUUCGAGUCUGUUUACCCAAAAGUCAAACCUUGGUCAACCCUUUCAACUUAAAACUUCUAAGACGAGAAUCAUUCUUCCAAUUCAUUCCCGAACCGCUCGAAAACUGAAACCAACCAUACACACAAGUCAUAAUACAUAAUAUGAAGCUACUCAAAGUCUCAAAACACCGAAUGGAAUGCUAAAGCUCAAAACAACCAUUCAGGUUGUUACAUUCUCCCGCACUUAAAUAUACGUUCGUCCUCGAACGUGCCAAGAGUCCUUCCAAAGCCAUCAAAUCGCCAUAUAACCUCACCAUACACAUAACCAUGGGUGAUCCCACAUCAUCCCAAUCCAUAUAAGCCCGACAACACCACCUAACAGAGGAUCCUUACUUCAACUGUAGUCCAUUAACCUUAAAACCCAAAUCCCCAACAUCUAGAACUCAAUAUGACCCUAUUCUUGCAUCUCUGCACCGUAUAACUCUGAACAAGUUGUAUCAUUCCAUAACCGCAUCUCAAGACAUAAUCACAUCAUAUACCACAUAACUUAAAUACUCAUUGCUAUAACUUCUGACCGUAAUAGCUGCUCGAUAACCAACCCGACACCGGUAACAAACCUCAUAUCAACUAAAACCUUGUUCUGAACCUUUGUACACUAUCAAUGAUGAAAGACACAUAUAGAAACUCAUAACCACCCAUCAGAUCAACAAGUUAUGGAUCUCUCUUGCCCGAUAAGAACCAUAGCCAAAAUCUAAGUCGACUAGUGAUAUUUUUCUUCCAAACAUACCUUAAUCAAAUCCAAUGGCACUCAUUUCAAGCCCAAUAACCUCACCUCAUCUAGUACAAGAUACUCGACUGACCUGUCAUACAAAUGCUACUUAGAGCCACAUACCAUGCAAUCCAUGCACCAACGAACAAUAACUCGAAUAUAACAAUUAUGGAAAAAGAAUGAAAAUGAAGGAACCAUCCCGCCAGCUCAACAGACACCACUAUGAAGCGCAAUGCUAUCGAUCCACCACACAAAGAGAAACAUAAAACACGAAAUAAGAACAAAGGAGCAUAUCCUAACAUAACGUCAUUGUGGUGCAUGACCCAAUCCGACACCGGUCCACCUGGAAUACGUUGAGCCAUGAUACUCACAAUCAACAACCAUAAGCAUAUCAACAGCAAACAUACGAAGUGCGUGACCAUAACCAUGGAGAUACAGAUAUCAUUAUAUACCAAAAACAGGAAGACCAUAACCAAGGAACAAUCAACCAUUCAACACCCCAAGAGCAAUCUCGCUCAAAUUUCGCUACAAAGCCCAAACAUAACUGCAUCAUAGGUAAACAGUCAACAGUCUCACAACCUGUCGUGGUGUAGAAGAGUAACAUAUAGAACACAUCAGAACACGAAUAAGGCCAAUUCUAAUCGAUGACACCACCCAUAACAAUAACUGUGUUGAGUAAACAAGUCUAUCCCGGUGUAGAAUAUACAUUCUCAUUAGGCCUACCAUCGGCCUCGAAAUCAAUUCUGAUCCUUCCAAAAUAGGUGGAUAGCCUCCGAAAAGCCACAAUAGCAUAUCUAUAGCACAUAUCAUCAGUCACCAACCUCUUAGCAUACCUUUAUCGUCCGUAACCAUAGAAUAAGCUACCUUUGAGAAACUUCUUAGUCUUCUGGUCCUUAGAAUGCCAGAAUCUCCAUAUCCGAUCCCAACUUCACUACUCAAACGACUGACACCUUCAUCAUACACGAUCAUCCCAUGAUAAAUACUUCCAUAAUUCCUUCAUGCCAUAUAGCAAAAUCUGAACAUCAGCGAUCGAUCAAUCAGGCGAUUACUGUAAUACUAGUCAGGUAUCCGCAAGUGGAAGCAUUGUGCGCCUUCUGGAGUGCGCACCCUUCUUAGGUGGUACCAAAUGAUGCUAGCAUUCUUCUAAACAUCUAAAAUCCUCCAUGCUGUCUAAAACUUGUGACCCCGUCCAAGCAAAAAUCGUAAUACACAACAUGUUCCUUCUGUCGGUAGCAGACAUCUAGUUCAAGUCAAGGUCGACACUAUCAAGAACUCUUCAAGACUCGCCUGCCACCACCAAACCAUCAGAAUUGAACUUUCCCAACUCAACCAAGUCACGCAAGCCGUCAAACCCAAGUGUACUGCCACAAAAAUGCCGGUAAGGAAUUACCAUACCAAAAGAACUAAUUACCUUUAUUACCAUGCUGAACCAACACCACCAAGCUGACCCAUUUCCUCUAAUCUUCCUCAACUUGUCUUCAAGUUAACACUUCUCCUCGUCAGUACACAAUCAUUCCAAAUCAAAGCUUGCUACGGGAGAUCCUAGCACAAACCACGUCAUUCGAAGGCCCAUAAACCAUUGUAUUUCCUCUGAAGCACCCAAUAAUAUUGUAACUGAGAUACUCACUCCAAAGAGGCAUUCUAUGAAUCUGAAGAUGUUCCUCUAACCUCUCUGAUAUUGUAAUGUAGAUUUAGCAAUAAUAUAGAUAUACCGCAUAUAUACCUCAGACCUAAACUGACAUAACACUUGCCCAUGCAAUCUGAUCGUCGAUAGUAAACUCCCUCACUUGGCGCGAAGCCAUAGGACACAACAUCCGAUGAUCCACAAUACUAGCCUUCAUAAGCUUGUGCAGCACCAAUGAGAUACAAGAACCCAUUACACCCCACACCUGAACAACUUAAGAUAUACCAACACGUCCAUGUCCUCAGUCUGGAAAACAGCUCGAGACAAUGAUCGAGCAUCCAUGGCCCCCUCGAAGCCCAUCCGUAGCAUUUCGAACCGUCGGAGCAUAGCUGAUAUCGAGUGCACAUCAUCUUAUAUGAGUGGAUGUAAAGGAAUGUAAGAUGUAUGCUUCAAGCUGAAUCAAUGUCGCACGAUAAGGAAUGAAAUGAGUGGAAUUUCCUAAUAGUUCUGUAGCCUCUCGAAGAUAAGUACAGACGUCUCCGUACCUAUAUGCAAGACUCUACUAAACCUGCUUAUGACUCGUAGCAUCUAUGAACCUAAAGCUUUGAUACCAACUUGUCACGACCCCGAAUUCCCACAUUAGGAUGUCGUGAUGACACAUAGUCUUUAAGACUAGGUAAGCCUAACACAUGUUGAGUUAAUAGCAGAAUUGAACUAUUUAAUCAUUAAAUCAUAAACCAAUAAAUGACAUACAUAACUGCAACGAGAAAUAGUUAUACAUUUAACAAAAUCGAUAGUACGGAGUCAUAAGAUCUACCAAAUUAUACUGGAAUUUCUAAAUACUAUAUUGUUUUGAUUUACAAUUUAACAGUAGCAUAAGAAAGUAAGAUGGUGACUCUGAGACCUGCGAGCGUCAAGAAGGUAUACCUUGAAGUCUCCACCGCGCAGACGCAACUCUCAAUAUCACGAUCAGAAAUACCUGGAUUUGUACAAAAAUGAGCAGAAGUAUAGUAUGAGUACACCACAACGGUACCUAGUAAGUAUCAAGCCUAACCUCAGUAGAGUAGUGACGAGGCCAAGUCAAGACACUUACUAGACAUAGAAACCUUUACAAGAUAUGCAAGAAGCUAACAAUGGAAAGAACAUCAAUGUAAGGCUAACGACGGAAAGAUUAGUGAUUUACAACAACAAACGAAAUAAUAGAAACACAAAUAGCAGCAAGUAGUAAACGGGUAAUAGAGAAGCAACAUAAUUAGAACACCGAUGAGAUAUGAAUGAACUCAAAUAAGGAGGAACCAAUGACAACUCAAAUAAUCAAAUUGUUCCCAAUGCAUGGUCCUAAACCGAGAAUUACUCUGAGGCACCACACCUCGUAAAUCACAAAUCAUGGACAAAUAAUUUUCAAAUCUUACACGUAUGGAACCUCGUGCCCACAAUAAUAAUUACCUUCGCACGGCAAGGCCCACGUGCUACCAUGUAUAUUGCAACAGUAACAAAUAUCAAUUAAAAUGAUUGAGAGUUAUAUUUAAACACCAUAAAGCAUAAUAAUAAUCUUGAAUAAAAGUAAGAAGUCAAAUGAAAUAAUGAGUUUAUUUUAGAAAUAAAUUAAAGUAAAAUAAAAUACAAUUUAUACAAGGUAGAGUAUCAUAUGAUUUUUGUUUAAAAAUCAAUAAAAUUGAGUAAACUUUCAUAUUUAAACAAUGCAAAAUAUCAGUUAAAUUUAUGAAUUAAAUAUAGAAUUUGUUAAAAGAGAAAUGUGAUAACAAUUAUAAGUAAGGUAACCAAUCAACAUGGUGUUGAAUAUAAUUUGAGAAUAUAAUUAUAGUAAAAGAGAGAUAAUCACUUAAAAUAAUAAGGCACUGAGUGAGAUAGCAAGUUCUAUAUUAAGAGACACAUAGAAUAAAGUACAUCAAUAAUUCUAUUAUUAAAAUCGUUAUGUUACCAACAACUCAACAGAAUAUGAUAUAAUGACUCCACACAAUUUAAUUCACAUUGAUAAUUAAUUUACCAAGUUAUAACGGAGGCACAUAUUGGCAUGUUAAAGCAAUACAACAAAUCACGUAGAAUGCAUGACUUACACAAGAAGUCACAAUCAUUCCAACACCAAGAUAACAACGAAUAUCCAAAUACAAUCAAAAUGUGGAUGAGUGAUUGAAGGAAGAACAAUAACAAUUCAAAUCAACAAGUUGUCUCAACAUAAAAUGUACAACAAGAAUCACAACCGAGGUACCGCCUCGAAAUCACAUUUCACAAGUCAUAAUCACAAUCUUUUCUUAUAUCACCGUGUGAGCCUUACAUUUAGUUUUGAAAAUUAUUUUUUUCGAAAUAGCUAUACGCAUUUUAGCCCACCUUAUCUCACUGCAUAGCUUCAAGUAGUUCCCCUAUUAGCAGCACGCAUAUCAAGCUCUCCUUAUCUCACCGCAUACGUAACAACCCCUAGCCUUAAGCUUGCAAUAACAGUGAUUUUAAUGUUGAAAGCCCAUGAACUGCCUACAGGUGCAAAAGUUUUAAAAAGAUGGUUGCACUUGAAUGGCAUUAUGCACAUAGGCUACAUGUAAAAAUACUUCCGGGGAAUAUUCAGUUGUAGGCGGGCUUCUUCCGAAAUAAUACAUGAAAGGCCGGCCCAUUUAAUAAGAUGCUUACAAAAAAAUUUACUUGGAUGUCCCCCUAAGACUGGUCUUCAAAUAUUAUUCCUUUUUUAUUUUUGUAACAAAAAGAAGCUUCUUUUUCAUCAAGAACACUAUAAUUCUUCAAUAUUAGAAGCUUUAAAUUCUUAUUUGUGGGUAAAAAAUGGACGUUAAUUUUUGAUUAUUAUUAAAAUUAUUUGGAUAUUGAUAAAUUAUGCUUAAUUUUUUAGUUCAAAGACUAAUUUAGUGAUUUACUUUAAAAAUCUCAAAAUUCCAUUGUUGGUCUUUAGAAAGUAUUGAAGAAGACAAAAUGGAUCAUCUUGAUUUGGCGUCUAUUUGACUACAUUGGUAAUUGAGAAUCGUUUGUGUCGGUAUUUGGAGGUUUUGUUUCUAAUUUAAAAUCAUUUGGAGCAGAAUUGAGGCGAUUUCUUCAAAAGUAGAAUUAUAAUUUUGAAGAACACUUUGUUGAAUAAGACAAAAAACUUAUGAUGAUCGAAUAGACUUUGAUGAACAAUUUAAUAGAUAUGUCAAUUGUAAAUAACAUAAAAUCAUAUUAAUCUGGUAGAGUUUGGUGAACAAUUGAACAAGUACAAAAUCAUGCCAAUUUAUAGAGUUUAUGAAUGAUCUAACAAAUAGGUUGAAUGUAGUUAACACAAAGUCAUGCCAAUAUGGUAGAGUUUGGUGAACAAUCAAACAUAACACAAAAUCAUGACAAUCGAGUAGAGUUUGUGAAUAAUUAAUAAUAUAGGUAAAAUAAAAGCAAAAUACAUAGUUUACCCAUCCACCUUGCACCCAAAUUCCGGUUACACACCUGUUGACCAUGGGUUUAACGUUACACACCAAACCUUUCAAAAGUAUUAUGUUUUGUAAAGUGUUGCUAUGGACAACAAAUGCUAUAUUUUGUAAAGUGUUGAUAUGGACAACCAAGUGGUAUAUUUUGUUAAGUGUUGUAAAUUCACAAAUUCGUUUUGGUGUCUACUAAUGAAUACCUAUUUUGUGGAAUGAAGUAUAUUUAGGUCUUCGUUUUAUACUGGUAUACUUUGGUUAUACAAAAGCUGCAUUACCCAUAUUUGGUUACCAAAGCCAAAUAGGAACAUAACAUAACACAAGAGAAGAUCAAUAACUUCAAUGAUCUAAAUAGGAACAUAACACAAAGCUUGAAUACAUCUAUAAUAAAAUAGAGGAUAACCCUCAUAGAUAACAACAACUUCAAUCAGCCAAAUACAUGAACACCCAAUACAGGGGAAUAUCAUUACACUAUAUAGUAGUGCUCAGAACUACCAAAUACAAUGGCCUUAAGGAUGAUUAAUCUUAAAAUCAGAAGAAGAAAAAAGAGUCUCCUCCAAUUCCUCGGUUUUUCGGAUUCCUGCAAAUGCACUUCAAACUGCUUAUUCUUCCUAAGCAGACCCAAAAUCACUGGCUUCAAGUGUUCAUGAGUCGGGGGAUCAAACCAUGCGAAGUACUUACACCCAGUUUUCUUAUCUUUCUACAAAUCCAAAAAUAAAUUAAAAUGAAGCUUAUAAAAUCUUGAAAUAACGAUUAUAACAAACUAAGCUUACCUCGUAAUUUUUACAGCCGUAGAAUCGACGACCAGGGUUAUCUAUGCUCCAUGAAAUUACUAGUUCAGCUGCAUAUCCACAUCGACAAAAUGGACCUGAAUUCUCCAUUCAAUAUGAACCCUAAUACGAGAAUUGACAGAAGAAUAAUUAUCUUACCUUAUGAAUUGUACUUUAAUUUAACAAAUAUAACGAGCUUGAAAAUAUUAGAUGUGGAAGGUGAAGAUGGGGGUUGGAUUUUUCGGUCUGAAAAUGGUUGCCAAAUAGCUUUUAAUAUAGGAAGGUGAAGUGGGCGUUAGGGUUAAGUAAAUGGGCCCAAUUCCAGUAAGUAGCAGUUGAUAUUUGUCAAGUGAGGCCAAAAUUAUCUUUUCACGUGCCGCAUUGUUCGUGUUUCACACGUCCAAGAUACUGGUCAAAAAUGGUGUGUCAUUGACACACUUUUGAAAGGUUUGGUGUGUAAUAUUAAAUAUGUGGUCAAUAUGUGUGUACCAUAGAUUUGAGUGGAUGAGUAAACUAUAUAUUUUGCCUAAAAUAAAUGAGUGAGUGUGGGACCAGGCUCAUUUUUUAAAUACUCUAAAAAAGGAGGACAAUAUUUGAAGAUCAGCCCCUUAUAGGCCAAUUCCCAUGCUUAGGGUUUACAAAGUCUCUCUCGGCGCAGCCCAAGGUUCAAAAUUUUGAAUCACGCUCCAACGGUCAUUGUCAUAUUCACAAGAGUUCCUUCCUUCUCUGCCCCUACACAAGUAAUAAUAUAUAUACCCCUUCUUUUUCCCAUCACUCUCAUCCCUACUCCCCCCCUCCCCCCCCCCACCACACAAGUAAUAAUAUAUACUCCAUAUACCCCUCCUUUUUCUCAUCACUCUCAUCCCUACUGCCCCCCACACAAGUAAUUCAUUGGGACGAGUUCCAGUUUCAUUUCAAGGGGAGAGAUGGAUUUCCACAGCCUUACAAGGAGAGAACUGCAAGCUCUUUGCAAGAAGAACAAAAUCCCAGCUAACCUCACCAAUGUCGCCAUGGCCGACGCUCUUCAGUCCCUCGAGUUUGUAAGUUUCUUCUUUCAAUUAAAAAGCUAUAUUUCCUGUUUUGUGAAAUUGUUUAAAUAAGAUAGGCAGCAUUUUAAUUUCAUUUCUGAAUGAUCUGAAAGGAAUAUUAGUAGUAUCUCUUUUAAAAUGUAAAUAAGAUAGGCGGCAUUAACCUUUGAUAUUAGAUUGAAUCUGAGAUUGUUAGGAAGCUCCAGUAUGUUGAUUUAAUAAUUUUGGGAUUAAUUAUUGCUUAAAGUUAAAGUUAAAGUUAAUUUUUAUUUAUUUAUGUAUUUAGUCUGCAAAUGAUUUAUUGGUAUCUAAUUUCUAUAUUAACACUCCUUCAUGUUUGUUGGAUUGUGCCAACCACCAAUUCUAAAAGCAUUAACUAUUGGAAACAUUUUUUUAAAUAUUUGCUUAUGUGUGCAACACCAAUGAUUAAGUUACGAUAUUGGAAUGGAUUAAGGCCCGAGGUUGGUUCUUAAGUGUUUUGUGCAACUCUCUAUUGGAAUAGCAGAGGCGGAUUCAGGAUUUGAAUUUUAUGAGUUCGAGUUCGAAAUUCUACCACAACCCAUUUGAUUUGCUUGGUUCGCAAUCUAUUAAUUGUAUGUCGUAUUUAGUGGAUUCUUAAAUACUAUAAAGGUUUGAGCUAAAGCUAAUGUGAACCCUUAAACUUAUCAGUUAAGUCCGGCCCUGUGGAGCAGUAUGGCUAAAUCUACUCUUCUCCAUGCCCCAAACCAUAAACUUUUUUAAUUAUGAUUCUAUGUUCCCAAAAUUAUUGCCUAAGCUGUGCAUGAUUAGUACUUCCACAGUUGGAUAUCUAUAGCUGCUUAUAACAUGUUCAUGUAGUUGUACGUUGACAUUGUACAAUAGAAAGGAAAUUCAGUAUUAUUUUUAUAUACAGGUUGAUGGUAUUGAAGAAAUCUUGAGUUCAUGUGAAUCUGAAACCGCAAACUCAUCCAUGGAGUCUCCUGGGAAGUCAGAAAUAGUAACAAGUGUACCUCGGACUUGUCGUCGAGCUACACAACAAAAGGCAAUCAAACAUGACCCAGAAACUUUGCAGACCUUGACUAGGAGUAGCUGCAGAACGAGAGGAAAGGUGGUCAGAGAUGUAGAUGAAGCCAAGAACGACCUGCAUGAAACUCCUGCAUUGCCGACUACCAGAAGAAGGGCUGCAGCAACUUCAGUUCGCGCUAAAUUGGAAUCCGCAAUGAAGGAAUGUGAACCAAAAGAGAAAUUUGGGGAUCAGAUUGAGGGAAAAAUGAAAGAUGUGCCAAAGACACCAGCAGUUGUUCUAACUAGCCAAAGAAAGGAAUUGAAGGCAAGUUCAGUUAGGCAAGUGUACAGUACUCGUCGAUCAGCAAGGAUAGCUGGGAAACCAAUGCAGGAGAGCCCACAAGAGAAUGAAAUGUCAGGAACCCUUACAUUUGAUGCUUUUCCUGAAGAAACUGAGGAAAGUUUGGAGGUGGAUUCUGAGCAGUAUUCUAUUCACAAGAAUGAAGAAGUAGACAAAAAUGGUAAUGUCCGCAAGCACAAGUAAUCCUUAACCUUUUUCUUUUCCUGAACAUUACUUGGUGUCUAAGUUCUGACUGACAACUGCAGUACAUGUAUUGAAUUGAAAACGUUAGAAAGUUUGGAGAUCAAUAAUGUAUCAGAUAUUGUAUCAGGUCAAUAUUCAUAUACCUUGGUACAAAAUGAAAUAGAAACUGAAGAUGUUGUUCAACAAGAAAGUAACAAUAACCUGGUUGUUGCGUUAGAUACAAAAGCAGAAGAAGGCUCAGAGGAAGUACCACUUGGUCACAACAACAAUGGUAUGUAUUGCUCUGUUCUCAGUGUAUGUUGUUGUUUGCUCCAGUCUUCUGCAUUACUAUUUAUAUGAAUUAACUUGUAGUCUAUUUAUUUUGAUGGCUUAUGUAUACUGCUCAAUUGGUAGAAAGAUUCAAGAAAAUGGUAUCUGUUCUUCUGUCUACUUUUUGUAUCAAUUGUCUUAUCACCAUCUCUGUUGUAUAGACAAUCUCAGUUUACUUAGUACAGUGAAUUGUUUCUUGCUUUGUGAUAAUUAAACAAAAUUGUUUCUAGGAUCUGAAGAUGUGCAUAUGUCAAUAACGGAGGAACUUGAGAAUGGAAAAGAAAUAGUAUCUGAAGGAAUGCAGUCUUUGAAUGAUGUUUCAGGAGCUAAAAUAGAAGAUUUUGGUGAAGAAUCCAUGGAAGAAUCUGAAAUUGAUCAAGCUCAGGCUAAAACUGAAAAAGAUUUUCAGAACAAAAGCCAUAACUUGGGUGAAGAUACAAAGAGAAGUUCAGAUAUCACUAGUGUGAUCCUGAUGAAGCAGCCGCAUAAAAAGGACAAGCCCCAUUGUGAAGAACCUGCAAGUGUCAAUGCAGACACUAACAUAGAUUUCCAUGAGGUGAAUUCGUUGGGGCAAUUCAACGAUGAGGGGGAGGCUAAGGUGAGUGGAAGUCAGCAGUGUUUGAAAGAUGCUUCCGAAGCUAACACAGAAGAUGCUGGAGAAGAAGAGCCCAUGGAAGAAUAUGAAGUUGAUCAUGCUGACGCUAAUGUGGAUAGUGCAGCUCAUGGUCUGGAAGUUGCUGAAGAAGAACCCAUGGAAGAAUUUGAUGUUGAUCAAGCUGAGGCUAAUGUAGAUAGGGAAGCUGAUGCUCUUGAAGUUGCCGGGGAAGAAGAAUCCAUGGAAGAAUCUGAAGUUGAUUAUGCUGAGGCUAAUGUGGAUAAUGCAGCUCAUGGUCUUCCACCCUUGGCUUCUCUCACACCUGAUGAUGCUGCCCAGGAAGGUGAGUGCGAGGUUAAGGUGAGUGGAAGUCAGCAGUGUUUACAUGUUUCAGAUGUAGUUGCUGGAGAAGAAUCCAUGGAAGAAUCUGAAAUUGAUCAUGCUGCGAUUAAUGUGGAUAUUGCUGCUCAUGCUCUUCCUCCCCUAGCUUCUCUCAUACCUAAUGCUGUCCCAGAACCAGUCUACAAAGGCAUUGCUGGUAAUGACAGUAAGCAAUCUUUGCAAGAUUUAACCUUGAGGAAGCUUACAAAGAUGUUGAAAGAAAGAGCUACAGAUCACAAAAGAUCCUAUGGAGAAGAACCUAUGGAAGAAUCUGAAAUUGAUCAUGCUGCGAUUAAUGUGGAUAUUGCUGCUCAUGCUUUUCCUCCCCUAGCUUCUCUCAUACCUAAUGCUGUCCCAGAACCAGUCUACAAAGGCAUUGCUGGUAAUGACAGUAAGCAAUCUUUGCAAGAUUUAAGCUUGAGGAAGCUU
This 44811-nucleotide long non-coding RNA is filed under the name Nicotiana tabacum (common tobacco). RNAcentral describes it as "long non-coding RNA (NTAB_LNC009633)". The record is from RNAcentral. Lineage: Eukaryota; Viridiplantae; Streptophyta; Magnoliopsida; Solanales; Solanaceae.